Molecule: ribosomal RNA, 1261 nt
Filed under: Vreelandella sulfidaeris
Lineage: Bacteria; Pseudomonadati; Pseudomonadota; Gammaproteobacteria; Oceanospirillales; Halomonadaceae
Description: bacterial SSU rRNA
Rfam family: Bacterial small subunit ribosomal RNA
Source: RNAcentral
CUGACGAGCGGCGGACGGGUGAGUUAAUGCAUAGGAAUCCUGCCCGGUAGUGGGGGAUAACCUGGGGAAACCCAGGCUAAUACCGCAUACGUCCUACGGGAGAAAGGGGGCUUCGGCUCCCGCUAUUGGAUGAGCCUAUGUCGGAUUAGCUAGUUGGUAAGGUAAUGGCUUACCAAGGCAACGAUCCGUAGCUGGUCUGAGAGGAUGAUCAGCCACAUCGGGACUGAGACACGGCCCGAACUCCUACGGGAGGCAGCAGUGGGGAAUAUUGGACAAUGGGGGCAACCCUGAUCCAGCCAUGCCGCGUGUGUGAAGAAGGCCCUCGGGUUGUAAAGCACUUUCAGCGAGGAAGAACGCCUGGUGGUUAAUACCCAUCAGGAAAGACAUCACUCGCAGAAGAAGCACCGGCUAACUCCGUGCCCAGCAGCCGCGGUAAUACGGAGGGUGCAAGCGUUAAUCGGAAUUACUGGGCGUAAAGCGCGCGUAGGUGGCUUGAUAAGCCGGUUGUGAAAGCCCCGGGCUCAACCUGGGAACGGCAUCCGGAACUGUCAGGCUAGAGUGCAGGAGAGGAAGGUAGAAUUCCCGGUGUAGCGGUGAAAUGCGUAGAGAUCGGGAGGAAUACCAGUGGCGAAGGCGGCCUUCUGGACUGACACUGACACUGAGGUGCGAAAGCGUGGGUAGCAAACAGGAUUAGAUACCCUGGUAGUCCACGCCGUAAACGAUGUCGACCAGCCGUUGGGUGCCUAGAGCACUUUGUGGCGAAGUUAACGCGAUAAGUCGACCGCCUGGGGAGUACGGCCGCAAGGUUAAAACUCAAAUGAAUUGACGGGGGCCCGCACAAGCGGUGGAGCAUGUGGUUUAAUUCGAUGCAACGCGAAGAACCUUACCUACCCUUGACAUCCUGCGAACCCGGAAGAGAUUCCGGGGUGCCUUCGGGAACGCAGAGACAGGUGCUGCAUGGCUGUCGUCAGCUCGUGUUGUGAAAUGUUGGGUUAAGUCCCGUAACGAGCGCAACCCUUGUCCUUAUUUGCCAGCGAGUAAUGUCGGGAACUCUAAGGAGACUGCCGGUGACAAACCGGAGGAAGGUGGGGACGACGUCAAGUCAUCAUGGCCCUUACGGGUAGGGCUACACACGUGCUACAAUGGCCGGUACAAAGGGCUGCGAGCUCGCGAGAGUCAGCGAAUCCCUUAAAGCCGGUCUCAGUCCGGAUCGGGAGUCUGCGAAACUCGGACUCCGUGGAAAGUCGGAAUCGCUAGUAAU